This 369-nucleotide long non-coding RNA is filed under the name Penaeus japonicus. Its description in RNAcentral is "uncharacterized LOC122245388". The record is from RNAcentral. Lineage: Eukaryota; Metazoa; Arthropoda; Malacostraca; Decapoda; Penaeidae.
AGGAACAGCUCUGUCCACUUCUCCUUCAGCUCUUUGGAAAAUCAUGCACACUCUCCCAUCGAGGUGCAUGACGGUCCUCUUAAGAAGAUUUUGUUAUGGAAUGAUCUCUACGGGAAAUUAGACUACGGUUUCGGAACAGGACAGGAACCUUUCCAAGCAGCGGGGUGUCGAGUGGAUGCUUGCAUGAUUACGAUCGACCGGAAUUUGUUUCCUCUGGAGGAGCUCGACGCCCUUGUGUGGCAUACGAGGUCACGGGAUGUCUCUUUGCCUGAGAAGAGGAGUCCACACACUCGGUACGUGCUGGUAGCGAGGGAAUCUCCAGGCCACAACUACUCCAGGUUUUUGGAAUUUGUUCGUGAAUCUCGCCUU